AUUCUAGUUUAUCCUGCUAGAGGCUGCUGCUCUUUGGUUUGGGCUAAGCCAUGCAAGUUCCUCGUAAGAGUGCGAACUGCUCAGUAACACGUAGCUAACCUACCUUCAAGCCGGGAAUACCCUCGGGAAACUGAGGCUAAGUCCUGAUAGGAUAUGGAUACUGGAACGUUCCAUAUUUCAAACGCAAGGCUUAAAGAUGGGGCUGCGGCCGAUUAGGUAGUUGUUGAGGUAAUGGCCCAACAAGCCUGUUAUCGGUAGGGGCUCUUAGUGGAGUUGCCCCGAGAAGGAAUCUGAGACACUAUUCCUAGCUCUAUGGAGUGCAGCAGGCGCGAAACUUCUGCAAUGCCCGCAAGGGUGACAGAGCAAACCAAAGUGUUUUCUCGCGAGAGAAAACUUUUCUCUAUUGUAAAAAGACAGAGGAAUAAGGACUGGGCAAGACUGGUGCCAGCCGCCGCGGUAAUCCCAGCAGUCCGAGUAGCAGCCACAUUUAUUUGGUCUAAAACAUUCGUAGCUAGUUGAGACAGUUUCCUGUCAAAUCUUUCUGCUUAACAGAAAGGCGUGCAAGAAAUACUACUCAACUUGAGACCGGAAGAUGUGAGAAGAACAGCUGAAGUAGUAGUAAAAUAUGUUAAUCUUAGCUGGACUAACAAUAGCGAAGGCAUCUCACAAGAACGGAUCUGACAGUGAGGAAUGAAAGCUAGGGGCGCAAAAUGGAUUAGAUACCCAUGUAGUCCUAGCCGUAAACACUGCUUACUAGACAUUGUCUUCUCCUCGAGAGAAGGCAGUGCCGCAGAGAAGUCGAAGAGUAAGCUACCUGGGGAGUAUAGCCGCAAGGCCGAAACUUAAAGGAAUUGGCGGGGGGGCACUACCAGGAGUGACGCGUGCGGUUCAAUUAGAUUCUACACCGUGAACCUUACCAGGAGCGACAGCAGAAUGAAGGUCAGUCUAAAGGGCUUACCUAACACGCUGAGAGGAGUUGCAUGGCCGUCGUCAGCCUGUGCCGUGAGGUGACCAGUUAAAUCUGAUAACAGGCGAGACCUACGUCUAUAGUUGCUACGUUAAGAGCACACUAUAGAGACUGCAUUCGUAAGAAUGAGGAGGGUGUAGGCUACGACAGGUGAGUACGGCCCGAAUCCCCUGGGCUACACGCGCGCGGCAAUGGCAGAAACAAUGAGAUGCGACUCCGAAAGGAGAAGCCAAUCCCUUAAAUUCUGUCUCAGUCCAGAUUGAAGUCUGCAACCCGACUUCAUGACGCCGGAAUUCCUAGUAAUCGUUCGUUAGCAGCGAACGGUGAAUGAGUCCCCGCCCCUUGCACACACCGCCCGUCAAACCAACCGAGUUAUAUCUUGGUGAAACUCUUCUUGAGGUGAACCUCGGUAUGACAAGGUAGGUUAAGUCGACACAAGGUAUCCGUAGGGGAACCUGCGGAUGGAUCACCUCCU
Molecule: ribosomal RNA, 1442 nt
Filed under: Candidatus Pacearchaeota archaeon
Lineage: Archaea; Nanobdellati
Description: bacterial SSU rRNA
Rfam family: Archaeal small subunit ribosomal RNA
Source: RNAcentral